AAGGAACUUUGCUGCAGUACCAUGAGUGCAGCAGGCGCAAUGAUAUUACGCCUAUUGAGGCCUAUUUUCAAAAAAAGUUCCUUUAAGUGCAUAUUCUGUGUUACUGUGGAUACUGAACGCCAUUAAUUUUGUGUAUCGAUGGUUUAUGAGCUGUUUACCGGGAAACUGAAAUUGAUUGUAUUUUUUUUUUUUUUCUUGACAAGUUUAGACUUUUCUGGCACCUGAACAAUUUAAUGCAAUUUACCUUUAAUAAUACUUUAAAUUUAAUUGGGGCAGCCACCAUUGCAAGUUCGUGGCAGUGUAAACAGACUUUCUUUCCAAUCUUCUUCUGUAUCUCAGCUUUCACCCAAAUAAAAAGCUACACAUUCAUAUAUAUAUUGACAAAUCAUUGACCAAAAGCCUUGAUGAAAUAGAAAGUUAUUAUCAAGCAGUCUGAAUGUCAAAUUGAACAUGAUUCACUAUUUAUGUUGUCUAAAUUAUAUGACACGAGUCGUCAUUGAAAUACUGUGUUAUAUCAAUUAAGUUCUAUAUCACAUUCAAGAAUUGCAUGGAACUAUUAUAUUCAGUUUCCGAGGAAUUGGAGGUAAUAAAUAUCAAUCUCCUAUUGAGUCUAUUGAGGAGCACACUUUGCUCCUCCUUGAAAUUUUAUUACAAGUGAUAAACAGCAGCAUAAUCAUGCACUAUGAUGGAUUGUAAACACUGCUUGAUAGAGGGAGAGGAAAAUGAGCUUAAAUAAUGAUAAAUGUGCACACUUAGAUUGAUCUUAAAAACACAAUGCAAAAAUCUAUGUAGAAUGUGUAUCUGUUUAUUUGUUUUUUUUUAACUAUAAUAAAUAUAUUUAUUUGCACCCUUUUUUCCAUGUGCAGCUAAAGCAUCAGAGGAGAGCAUUAUGAAUGGCCACCUGACAUGUGAAUAAAGACCAUUAUGUCAAAUAUCCCAUACACAAUGUAAAACCAUGUAAAAGAAGGCUUCAAAGAUAACAAUUAACUCAUUUUGUAAGAAUUGCAACAUAAUUCCAGCAACAUUUGCAUAUUAAAUUGCAAUUCCACUGAUUGCCUCUUUAUUGUAGAUUUAUGUCUAUAUGUUUCAGGAUCACAUGUAUGUUGAUGAUGCUAAUCUGAAAAUCUAGUGGCUUUACCUUCAAAGUGUUAAAGCUGCUGGAAUGACUGCAAAAGACCAUUUCAUUUCACAUUUUACAGAAUGCAUGAAAACAACUUUUGUGGCAAAUAGCUUUUCUUUAGUUGGGUCAUUCACUUUUUAUCAUCAAAUUGUGAAGAUAAAAAUUCCAAGGAGUGGCAGAAUGUGCUGACUGCACCUCAAAUUAAAAAACUAUGUAUAUAUUUAAUAUAUAACCUAAUUCAGCCCCUUAAUUUAGGUGUGUGUGAAUGACGGCACAGGUUAUGUGAUUUUGGAAACAUAAAUACUGAAUCAGAAUUCAGAAUCAGGAAGUCAGAUUGCCUGAAAUUACAUUUUCAUUUGAUCACCAGCACACUGUAGCAAUGUCAGUACCUGGUGGCUGGAGCCCAGUGGAGCCUGUCACUCCAGAGGUGGAGAAAAUCUGCCUUGAGGUGAAGUCACACAUUGAGUAGAUGAUUAAAAACAAUUCUGGUGUUUGCACUCCUAUAAGCUUUGCUCAUCAGGUUGUGGAGGGAAUAAACUAUGUGGUCAAGGUGCAGGUCGGCGUAGAUUUGUGCGUUCAUGCAAUGAUAUUUGCAGCUCUCCCCUGCCAUGGAGGGAAACGGACUGUGACUGGAAUUCAGGAUUUUUCAAAUUAAAUAAACCCAUGAAU
Molecule: long non-coding RNA, 1789 nt
Organism: Megalobrama amblycephala (Wuchang bream)
Lineage: Eukaryota; Metazoa; Chordata; Actinopteri; Cypriniformes; Xenocyprididae
Exons: 3
Source: RefSeq, a predicted model, not a curated record